This is a long non-coding RNA of Malania oleifera, 784 nucleotides long. RefSeq lists it as uncharacterized. The transcript has 2 exons. The record is from RefSeq and is a predicted model, not a curated record. Lineage: Eukaryota; Viridiplantae; Streptophyta; Magnoliopsida; Santalales; Ximeniaceae.
UUUUCACGCACACAGCCUUUUUCACGCACUGUUCAUCUUCUCUCUCGGGAGGGGGGCGCACUUCUCAUGGUCUUCCACCAGACCUCUCUCGCCCUCUGGCUUUUCUCUCUAGCAGAAACCUCACACCAGAGCCCGGAGCAACUCUCCAGAUUUCUUUUCCCCUUUUCCACUCUCAGACUCUCCCAGCAUUCUCGCUCACUCCAUUUUUAUCCAUCUGCCUCUCAACCUCCAUACCAUCCCAGAUCGGCCCCCCAUCCUCUUCCUCCAUCUCUCAGAUCCAGCCACCACCAGUUCACCCAACAACUCCCCUACGCCAUCUCCACUUUCCAGCCGCAGUCACCACUGCAACCAGAUCCAGCCAGCAGAUCCUUCACAGCCAACCAGCAGCACCACCAAACGGCCAUUACAACAUUCUCGGCGAUCCAGCUAGACGAGCAGAUCAAGCUCGCAAGUAAAGAGGUCAUUUACAUACCCUAUCCGUAGGGUAAGUGUUAUUAGGAGGAAAUGUAUUUUUGAAUAGUGUUUAGGAAUUUUGGGUAGAAGAUAAUGGGAUGUUGUGUAAUUAUGUAUGUAUAUCUUGGGAUAAUUCUAGAUUCUGGUAUCGUAUAUAUGGAUGUAUGACUUUAUGUUUUCCACUGCAUAGGUUUGUUAUUCUACGAACAAGAAUUUCCUUAGUGCCCACCUGGGAACUAAGAUGUUAUAGCAGAUAUUAUUAGGGGUACCUGAGUAUUUUAUUUUGUAGUACAUUUAUGAAAAAGAAAUGGUAUGCAAUUUCAGGUUGUUA